RNAcentral lists this signal recognition particle RNA (299 nucleotides) under Aotus nancymaae (Ma's night monkey). RNAcentral describes it as "Metazoan signal recognition particle RNA (ENSANAG00000004193.1)". It matches the Rfam family "Metazoan signal recognition particle RNA". From Rfam's summary of the family: The signal recognition particle (SRP) is a universally conserved ribonucleoprotein. It is involved in the co-translational targeting of proteins to membranes. The eukaryotic SRP consists of a 300-nucleotide 7S RNA and six proteins: SRPs 72, 68, 54, 19, 14, and 9. Lineage: Eukaryota; Metazoa; Chordata; Mammalia; Primates; Aotidae. The record is from RNAcentral.
GCUGGGCGCGGUGGCGCAUGCCUGUAGUCCCAGCUACUCGGGAGGCUGAGGCUGGAGGAUCUCUUGAGCCCAGGAGUUGUGGGCUGUAGUGCGCUAUGCCGAUCGGGUGUCCGCACUAAGUUUCGCAUCAAUAUGGUGACCUCCCGGGAGCGGGGGACCAUCAGGUUGCCUAAGGAGGGGUGAACCGGCCCAGGUCGGAAACGGAGCAGGUCAAAACUCCCGUGCUGAUCAGUAGCGGGAUCACGCCUGUGAAUAGCCAUUGCACUCCAGCCUGGGCAACAUAGCGAGACCCCAUCUCU